RNAcentral lists this ribosomal RNA (423 nucleotides) under uncultured Spartobacteria bacterium. RNAcentral describes it as "bacterial SSU rRNA". It matches the Rfam family "Bacterial small subunit ribosomal RNA", at positions 15 to 422 of the family's 1533-position model. The record is from RNAcentral. Lineage: Bacteria; Pseudomonadati; Verrucomicrobiota; Spartobacteria.
GAUCCUGGCUCAGAACGAACGCUGGCGGCGUGGAUAAGACAUGCAAGUCGAGCGAGAUUUUUUUCUGUAGCAAUACAGGGAAAAGUCUAGCGGCGAACGGGUGCUUAACACGUGGGCAACCUGCCGAGCAGUGGGGGAUAGCUCGCCGAAAGGCGAAUUAAUACCGCAUGUGAUCAGAGUGGACAUCCAUUCAAAAUCAAAGUCGGGGCAACCUGACGCUUCUUGAGGGGCCCGCGGCCUAUCAGCUAGUUGGUGAGGUAACGGCCCACCAAGGCUUUGACGGGUAGCUGGUCUGAGAGGACGACCAGCCACACUGGGACUGAGACACGGCCCAGACACCUACGGGUGGCAGCAGUCGAGAAUUUUUCUCAAUGGGGGAAACCCUGAAGGAGCGACGCCGCGUGGAGGAUGAAGGUCUUCGGG